Molecule: non-coding RNA, 69 nt
Organism: Podarcis lilfordi (Lilford's wall lizard)
Lineage: Eukaryota; Metazoa; Chordata; Lepidosauria; Squamata; Lacertidae
Source: the annotation of a GenBank genome assembly
GGUGGUGCAGUGGGUCGUCGCGUUUGGCUGUUAACCAGAAGGCUGGUGGUUCAAGCCCACCCAGGAACA